This is a long non-coding RNA of Oncorhynchus nerka (sockeye salmon), 2378 nucleotides long. RefSeq lists it as uncharacterized. The record is from RefSeq and is a predicted model, not a curated record. NCBI's taxonomy places the organism in Eukaryota, Metazoa, Chordata, Actinopteri, Salmoniformes, Salmonidae. The transcript has 2 exons.
AGUGGCUGCUCCACUGGAUGUCAUAAGGUGAAUGCACCAAUUUGUAAGUCGCUCUGGAUAAGAGCGUCUGCUAAAUGACUUAAAUGUAAAUGUAAAUGUACUUGCUUAGAAUAUGCUUCUUGCUAGUCAGGGGGGAGUCUGCAAGAUGUUCGGUGAACAAUGUUGUACGUAUAUCCCUAAUAACACCAGUCCAGAUGGUAGUAUAUCUAAGGGCCUUAAAUGGGCUUGAUGCACUAUCUGCUGAGAUGAGGACCAUGGCGGGGGUAGAGGAGUCUGACUGUCCACCUGGUUGGGAGACUGGUUUGGUAAGUAUACUGGUAUGGUGGUUACUGGAUUUCUGACCCUAAUUCUUGUAUUAUUUGUUAUUGAUGUGAUGUGCUGCUUGCAUCAUACCGUGUUUUAAGAAGUCUGUUACAGAUGUGGUGAAGGCUUCAGGCAUGAUGCCUUUGCUUGAUGCUCCAGUUGGAGAGGCUGAGGUGAAGCAUGCUUUGAGGGGAGGAUAAGACUGACUGAGGAUGACCCAUGUAUGUUUGUUCUCCCUGUCGUGAAGGGUGGCAUGGUGCCCACCUGGUGCUGGAUAAGAAUAGCUGAGACGACCAGAUGGGUUAUAAGAAUGCUUUGUUCUGCUUUACUCUGUUUUACAGGACCAAAGUUUUAUUCCACACUUUGCAACACAUUAAAUCCAUGUUAUUGUCAGAUAGAAUACUGAGGGUCCCCAAGGAGAGGGCUUGUUAGUGUAGGAAGGAUUUUUAAUAUGGUUAGCAUUUAUUAGAUUAUAAGUUUUUAAAUAGUAUUAUAUUUAACAGGAAUAUAGGACAUCUAUGAGGAGUUAGGAUUAUUGUUAGGAUUAAGAUAGAUUGAUUAAGGAAUUUGGAGAAAAGCCGCUCAUAGACAUGUUAUUUUUUUCUAAAAGAGGGUCCAUGGGUUUGGAUGGAGCCAAACAGUGAGACAUGUAGUUCAAAUUUGGAAAACAUGAGAAACAUACAGAGGAGCCCUCCCCCGCACUGCAGAGACCUUGAAGGUUGGAGAACAGAGAAGCUUUAGAAGGGGGGCCAGGACGAGCAAAGAUAACAUAGUGGGUAGAUAAGUUACUGAGUGGAGACAAAAGUGAGAAUUGGACAUGUGGAAAAUGAAAGGGACACUCCUAAAUGGAAUUUCAGACAUAAGGAUAAUUCACUAAAUCUUAUCUAAGUCAUUGUAUAAGAAUAAGGCAAGGUUGUUACCUGGGCAGAGCCAGGUAACAAAAGGGGGAUGGGUAAAUAGUGUUCUAGAAUAGGAUGUGACCUACGGGAUAAUUAACUAAUAAAAAAAAUAAUUGUUAAUUGGUUUGACGAAUAAGAAACUGUUUUAUUAACCAAACCUGUAUGUCCAAGAGUUUAUGCACUACAGGUGAACUACAGGUGAAGACACUCAAUCCAGUCCCGUGGGCCACCCGGAUUCAUAUCGCACUGCGGGGGGGACUCUGGAGAGAUCAAUGACACUACAGAUGGUGCGUUAUGGGCCGAUUCCAGGUUCAGACCCAUGGAGGACUGAAGGCAUGUCUACAGAGGAAGUGGACGAAUCUGGAUCUGUCAUUUGUGGGAAAUUUAUGUUUGAUGAGAAUAGUGUUGAAAUGAAGGGGAAUUAGAUUGUAAUUUGUUUCAAUGAUUAAACUGUUUUUUUUAAUAAAGAUUGUAAAAAGAAAAGAAAAAAUCCUGAAAGAGGAGUUAUGAUUCUGAUGUAGGUUUAAAAACAGUUGGAGUUAAGGUUAGAAUUGAUUUAUGAAAUGUGAAGAGUUGGAUAAACAUUUAUAAUUGAUUUGUUGAUUAUUUGUCUAUUCAUAUGAUAAUCUGAUAAACCUCUAUAAAAAGGUUAGUUAAGUUUGUUUAUACUUUCAUUUUUUAUGAUUAAAUAAAACUAGAUGUAGAAUUGAAUGUAUAAUAUUUGAUCACAGGGAGGAUUGUUAGAGGAAAUUAUAGUUUAGAUGAUCAAUUAUGUAUACAUUAAUGAUUAGAACCAUUUAUGCUAAUACUAUUAUGUUAUGAUUUGAAAAGUAUGGGUUUUUAGUUGAACUGUUACUGAAAAUGUAAGCAGAAAUUAAUUGUGUCUGUGUCUCCUGGGAAAGUUUAAGAAGGAGGGAUAAGAUAGUUUUUCAAACAGAUAAGAAUGUUUUGGUUGGAUUCCAUUAGUGGAGAGAAGUAUUAACCUUUAGACAGGUUGGAAUGUAGUUUAUGAGGGGAGUGAAACUAUCUCCAGGACCAAAUACUACGCCAUUGUAAGGCUGGGAGAGGGUGUGAAACUGAUGACGUCAUUUUAUGUCUUCUUUCUUUAAAAUGUAAUGUUCUUUGUAUUUUGGGUCAGUACUCUCUGGAAUUAAACGCUCUUUACCUGGCUUUUAA